CAAGCAGACUAUGGAGUACAGAAAACAGUUAGCCGUUAUUAUCUAUACGUGUUCAACAAAACACACUCAUUUUCAGUUGUAUGCGCAACGUAAUAAGGUUGAUAAUAAAUGCAAAUAAAUAUAUUGACUGCAAAGACUGGCCGUAUAUAAAAAGGUAAUGCUUUUUAAACGUAUCAUCAUUCAACAGCAUCGUUCCGUGAUCGUUCUUCGAACGUUCAUUUUUAAUUCAAAUUUCAAAUAUCGAAUUUCGAAAAUGGAUUUCUCUAAAAUUUUCUUCUUCGUAUUUGCCUGCAUCGUAGCGCUGUCAACGGUUUCGGGUGCACCCAGCCCUAAAUGGAAGUUUUUCAAAAAGAUUGAGCGCGUUGGUCAGAAUAUAAGAGAUGGAAUCAUAAAAGCUGGUCCAGCAGUACAAGUAGUAGGACAAGCAGCCACGAUAUAUAAAGGAAAAUAGAUUUUAUUUCUUAGAUUUUAAGACUUAAAUUAUCACUUAUUAGUUAUAAGUCAGAGACUGCCAUUACUUAAAUUAAAUUUAUCAAAAUAAAUAAUUAUUUUACAUAA
This is a long non-coding RNA of Galleria mellonella (greater wax moth), 558 nucleotides long. RefSeq lists it as uncharacterized. The record is from RefSeq and is a predicted model, not a curated record. The transcript is spliced from 2 exons. NCBI's taxonomy places the organism in Eukaryota, Metazoa, Arthropoda, Insecta, Lepidoptera, Pyralidae.